UACGUAGGGGGCAAGCGUUGUCCGGAAUCAUUGGGCGUAAAGAGCGUGUAGGCGGCUUGGUAAGUCCGCUGUGAAAGUCCAGGGCUCAACCCUGGAAAGCCGGUGGAAACUGUCAAGCUUGAGUCCGGAAGAGGCGAGUGGAAUUCCUGGUGUAGCGGUGAAAUGCGCAGAUAUCAGGAGGAACACCAGUGGCGAAGGCGGUUCUCUGGGCAUGUCCUGACGCUGAGGAGCGAAAGUGUGGGGAGCGAACAGG
This 253-nucleotide ribosomal RNA is filed under the name uncultured bacterium. RNAcentral's name for it is "partial 16S ribosomal RNA". It matches the Rfam family "Bacterial small subunit ribosomal RNA", at positions 524 to 776 of the family's 1533-position model. The record is from RNAcentral.